UUUUGUACAAUAAGAGAUGAGGUGUAAAGGUGUCUCGUGUUGAACAGAUGUACAGCUUAAUUAUUAUUGAGUGAGUGCUCAGAGAAGGUGAAAAGCCUGUUUGGUUGUGUCAAUCUGUUUAACCGAGAUACUGACGAGUCUAGUUGUUUGAGAGUACAACUUAAAGUUGGUGGUAAAUUUCAUCAAAGGCUAAAUAUAUGAGGGGACUAAUAGCGAACAAGUACCAUGAGGGAAAGUUGAAAAGAACUCUGACGAGAGAGUCAAACAGUACGUGAAACCAUAUUGAGUAAAACAGAUAACUGUGUUGUUAUGUGGUGUGCCUAUCAACAGCGUAUUUGGCGUUGUGAUGCUACGAGUGUAAGCUGUUUAUUCAGCCGAUUGCUCGUGGUUAGCAUAGUCAGAGCUUCUGUGUACUAGUGCGCACUCAAUCAUUGAGAAACUAUGCUGUUGCGGCAUCGGUGUGUAUCAGUCCGUACCUAGUGCGAAGUUACAUACUGGGCUCUGCGAACGGCGUAGUGUAGCUGUGUGACAGCUGUGAGAUGCGUUUACUGAAUGUGCCUGCUUUGUCUGCGAAUCGGUUUAUUCCUUUUUGCGGUGAGUAUGGUGCAGUAGGUAAGUGUCUCGCCAUCAAUGUUAACAUUAGUUAUUUGACCCGUCUUGAAACACGGACCAAGGAGUUCAAAUGGCACGCGAGUCAUUGGGUUUUAACACCCGAAGGCGAAGUGAAAUGCAAACGUAUUGUUAUUUGUGGUUGUUCCAUGAUUAAGCGAUAAGCUACUCAUGCUUUCUGGCAUUUGUAGACUAAAAGCGUGAUGUUUGAGACCCGAAAGAUGGUGACCUAUGCCUAGUCAAGAUGAAGCCAGAGGAAACUCUGGUGGAUGUCUGAAGUUAUUCUGACGUGCAAAUCGAUAAUCUGAUCUGGGUAUAGGGGCGAAAGACUAAUCGAACCAUCUAGUAGCUGGUUCCUUCCGAAGUUUCCCUCAGGAUAGCAAGCGUACAUUUUUAGUUUCAUCCCGUAAAGCGAAUGAUUAGAGGCAUUGGGGCGUAUAUAGCCUCAACCUAUUCUCAAACUUUUAAUGGGUGUGAGUGUUCUUUCUUAAUUGAAGAACGCUGUUAAAUAAGUAUGCUUAGUGGGCCAUUUUUGGUAAGCAGAACUGGCGCUGUGGGUUGAACCAAAUGUUGAGUUAAAGUGCCUAAAGCUGGAAUGCGCAUGAGAUCUGUAAAGGGUGUUAGUUGCUGAAGACAGCAGG
RNAcentral lists this ribosomal RNA (1250 nucleotides) under Podocinum sp. 1 APGD-2010. Its description in RNAcentral is "eukaryotic LSU rRNA". It matches the Rfam family "Eukaryotic large subunit ribosomal RNA", at positions 127 to 1244 of the family's 3401-position model. The record is from RNAcentral. Lineage: Eukaryota; Metazoa; Arthropoda; Arachnida; Mesostigmata; Podocinidae.